Molecule: small RNA, 126 nt
Filed under: Frischella perrara
Lineage: Bacteria; Pseudomonadati; Pseudomonadota; Gammaproteobacteria; Orbales; Orbaceae
Description: RtT sRNA
Rfam family: RtT RNA
About the family: This family represents a bacterial cis-regulatory element known as RtT RNA.
Source: RNAcentral
UAUUAUCUGCAUUUUGAGAGGAUGAGAACCGAUCAGAGGUUCGAGCCGAGCGUAGCGAGACAACGUUGCUUUAGCAACGACCCGUAGGGUGAGCAUGAAAUGCGAGUAAUCCUCUCUCGCCGACCA